CGCGAUGCCAACCUUGUCCUCGGGAGUGCCUCCGCUGCCACUCCAUCGUCUUCUCUGACGCCAUCCCCUUCCCCUCGACAAGAUCAUCUCGAUCUAUCCCACUCAGGACCUCGCCUUGCUGCACCCCCUUAUCGCUUGCUCCUACUGCUCUGGAUCUGACUUUUGGUGGCUGGCAUCGGCCAUUCAUGCCUCGCUGCCCUGCAAGAUCCAUCGCAUGCGGUGACGGGUACAAUACAUACGCCGCAUGCGAUGACGGCCUUUUUGAAAAAAGGAUGAUUUGGAAUAAUGUGUACAAGAAAGGCUUAGUUGAUGUGAUGCAUGAUCACAAAGAUAAUCCAAAAUUCAAAGGUCAAAAUGGUUGGAAUCGUGAUGGAUGGAAUAGUAUCACUACCAAGUUCAUGAAAAGUCCCUCUAUCUCAUUUCUCUAAACAAGAACUGCAAUAGAAGGAGAGAGAGCUUAAAGGAUACUACAAGGUAAUAAGGGAUUCAAGAAAAGAAAGCUGGGUUGGUUGGAAUGACACCCUAUGCAUGGUACUAGCUGAACUAGAAGUUUGGCCAAGGAUGAUUUGUGCUCACCCAAAGGUAUCAAAGUUUCGCAACAGGUCAUUCCCUCUUUUUUAUAGUUUAGAAGGGCUAUAUGAAGGUAGUGUGGCUACCGGAGAGUUAAAUUUCACAUCAACUGCUACUGAUCUUCCUCCACCUUCUACUCCAUCUAGAAGU
RNAcentral lists this unclassified non-coding RNA (720 nucleotides) under Zea mays. Its description in RNAcentral is "misc RNA Zm00001eb306120". The record is from RNAcentral. Lineage: Eukaryota; Viridiplantae; Streptophyta; Magnoliopsida; Poales; Poaceae.